This 497-nucleotide ribosomal RNA is filed under the name uncultured bacterium. Its description in RNAcentral is "partial 16S ribosomal RNA". It matches the Rfam family "Bacterial small subunit ribosomal RNA", at positions 28 to 507 of the family's 1533-position model. The record is from RNAcentral.
GAUGAACGCUGGCGGCGUGCCUAAUACAUGCAAGUCGAGCGAACAGACGAGGAGCUUGCUCCUCUGACGUUAGCGGCGGACGGGUGAGUCACACGUGGAUAACCUACCUAUAAGACUGGGAUAACUUCGGGAAACCGGAGCUAAUACCGGAUAAUAUAUUGAACCGCAUGGUUCAAUAGUGAAAGACGGUUUUGCUGUCACUUAUAGAUGGAUCCGCGCCGCAUUAGCUAGUUGGUAAGGUAACGGCUUACCAAGGCAACGAUGCGUAGCCGACCUGAGAGGGUGAUCGGCCACACUGGAACUGAGACACGGUCCAGACUCCUACGGGAGGCAGCAGUAGGGAAUCUUCCGCAAGGGGCGAAAGCCUGACGGAGCAACGCCGCGUGAGUGAUGAAGGUCUUCGGAUCGUAAAACUCUGUUAUUAGGGAAGAACAAAUGUGUAAGUAACUAGGCACGUCUUGACGGUACCUAAUCAGAAAGCCACGGCUAACUACGGG